Long non-coding RNA from Acanthopagrus latus (yellowfin seabream), 506 nucleotides. RefSeq lists it as uncharacterized. The transcript is spliced from 3 exons. Lineage: Eukaryota; Metazoa; Chordata; Actinopteri; Spariformes; Sparidae. The record is from RefSeq and is a predicted model, not a curated record.
CAAGUGGCCAUUUGACCUGUAAGCAAAGACAAUCUAAGUUUUAAGGCUGUCUACAUUAAUUUGAAUUGAAGUUCAUGUACUAUAAUUCAAACACAUGAUACAUUUUAUAUUCUUUUUAGAUGCAUCAUUCAAUUAUUCCUUGUGGUGGAAAGCCUGCUGUGGAACGCUGCACAACAUGCUGCAGUUAGUUCCACUGCACCCUUUGUGAUCUUUUUUCCAACUGUACUGCAAUCGUGGGGUCACUUUAAAGAACAUGCCAUUCACAAGGAAGAAGAGCAGCAGGCUGAGGUCUCAGUCAGACCUGCUGAUGUGGACACACCAGUGGAAGGGGACUCGUUUGAAGAUCACAUUCUUCAUGAUUGCAGACAUGCAGCAGAGUGGGUUGAGGCCAACAAACAACUGUUGACUGCCAAAGUGGACCUGUCUGAUAUGGACCAGGCUGAGGCUGCUCUGCAGCAUGUAAGGGUGUGGAAAGAUGAAGUGUAUGAGCAUGAAAAGGAAGCUAU